AUUGAACGCUGGCGGCAGGCCUAACACAUGCAAGUCGAGCGGAUGAAGGGAGCUUGCUCCUGGAUUCAGCGGCGGACGGGUGAGUAAUGCCUAGGAAUCUGCCUGGUAGUGGGGGAUAACGUCCGGUAACGGGCGCUAAUACCGCAUACGUCCUGAGGUAGAAAGUGGGGGAUCUUCGGACCUCACGCUAUCAGAUGAGCCUAGGUCGGAUUAGCUAGUUGGUGGGGUAAAGGCCUACCAAGGCGACGAUCCGUAACUGGUCUGAGAGGAUGAUCAGUCACACUGGAACUGAGACACGGUCCAGACUCCUACGGGAGGCAGCAGUGGGGAAUAUUGGACAAUGGGCGAAAGCCUGAUCCAGCCAUGCCGCGUGUGUGAAGAAGGUCUUCGGAUUGUAAAGCACUUUAAGUUGGGAGGAAGGGCAGUAAGUUAAUACCUUGCUGUUUUGACGUUACCAACAGAAUAAGCACCGGCUAACUUCGUG
This 484-nucleotide ribosomal RNA is filed under the name uncultured bacterium. RNAcentral's name for it is "partial 16S ribosomal RNA". It matches the Rfam family "Bacterial small subunit ribosomal RNA", at positions 30 to 507 of the family's 1533-position model. The record is from RNAcentral.